Molecule: ribosomal RNA, 468 nt
Filed under: uncultured bacterium
Lineage: Bacteria
Description: partial 16S ribosomal RNA
Rfam family: Bacterial small subunit ribosomal RNA
Source: RNAcentral
GACGAACGCUGGCGGCGUGCUUAACACAUGCAAGUCGAACGGAAAGGCCCUGCUUUUGUGGGGUGCUCGAGUGGCGAACGGGUGAGUAACACGUGAGUAACCUGCCCUUGACUUUGGGAUAACUUCAGGAAACUGGGGCUAAUACCGGAUAGGAGCUCCUGCUGCAUGGUGGGGGUUGGAAAGUUUCGGCGGUUGGGGAUGGACUCGCGGCUUAUCAGCUUGUUGGUGGGGUAGUGGCUUACCAAGGCUUUGACGGGUAGCCGGCCUGCGGGGGUGACCGGCCACAUUGGGACUGAGAUACGGCCCAGACUCCUACGGGAGGCAGAAGUGGGGAAUAUUGCACAAUGGGCGGAAGCCUAAUGCAGAAACGCCGCGUGCGGAAUGACGGCCUUCGGGUUGUAAACCGCUUUCGCCUGUGACGAAGCGUGAGUGACGGUAAUGGGUAAAGAAGCACCGGCUAACUACGUG